UGGGCGUUUUCCCGCCCCUUUUUCUGUUUGUGAGAAACUCUGCUGUUUGUGCCUCAGAGAUGAGCUGUUUCUUCUGUGGAUAUUUGGUUAAAAUUCACUUAAAAAUUAGUUUUUACAGUGAAAUACAGCAGAAACUGAGCCACAGAAGGAAUAUUAGCAGGAAUAUUGGCGUUAUUUUAUUAAAAGCUGCGUUUUUGAGAGCUUUUCAGUCGUUAGCUUCGUUCCUAACUGAGAUUUUUUGAGGGUUGUCAGCGAGCACCAGAUGGCAAGCCAGCUAACCACGUGAUUCUGUGGCAGCAAGAAUAAAGCAAGAGACAGAGAGCUUCAAGGUCAGGGACUUCUACUGGCUGCAAUCACCGGUGCUGCAUCGUUCCUGAAGAACAAGAAUGCACACCCACCACUUCCAACAAAUUGCCUCUGAGCUGACUCCUGACCUGAGCUUGAAGUAAUUGAUAAGGACCCCUGAAUGACU
Molecule: long non-coding RNA, 472 nt
Organism: Astyanax mexicanus (Mexican tetra)
Lineage: Eukaryota; Metazoa; Chordata; Actinopteri; Characiformes; Acestrorhamphidae
Exons: 3
Source: RefSeq, a predicted model, not a curated record